GCCUGGUAACCGGGUGGCGGCUGCAGCAACAGUCACCGGCUCCUCCGCGCGGGGCGAAGCGGCAGCUCUGCUUGGGCUGGGCGAGCCGCGGCGGCGGCCGGAGCCCCCAGCUCCCGAGGGUAGCGUUGUCAGGGGGCCUUGCUGCCAGCCCGGCACGGGGCGAGGGAAGCGGCGGCGUGCCCCUCUUGCUGCCCCGGUGCGCAGAUUCUCCCCCGCCCGGGGGGGCGCGUCCCUGCCUUCACCCGCACCUAGCGGAGGGGGCGGAUGGUGUGAGGGAGGCGGGACCGGGGUCACCGCCGCGGGGGGCUGGAGGAGGACGCUCCGCCCGUGACCCGGGCAGCGGGUGCGGGCAGGGCGCCGCGGCAUCGCCCCGCCACCCCCCGGUCGCUUUCCUGGAAAGCGGAGCGGGAGGGGUAGCGGGGUCUCGCUGUGAAGAUGGCGACCCCCGGGAUGAACUGGCAGCAGCAUUACUACGGCGGCGGCGGCUCCUCAGCCAGCGCUGGGAAAUUCGCCGCGUCCAGUUCCCAGCCGGGGCUCAGCGUGGAAUACAGCCAGGAUCUGCACCUCAAAAUGAGCAAGAAAAUAGCCCAGCUCACCAAGGUAAUAUAUGCUUUAAACACUAAGAAUGAUGAACAUGAAGCUGCUAUUCAAGCCCUCAAGGAUGCUCAUGAAGAAGAAAUCCAACAAAUUCUUGCAGAAACAAGAGAGAAGCUCUUACAGUAUAAGAGUAAAGUUGCUGAAGAAAUGGAUCUUAAGAGAAAGAUCCAGGUUUUGGAAGAGUCAUUGGAAGAUCAUAAAAAGAUGAAACAUCAAGCCUUGACAGAAUUUGAAGCUUACAAGGACAGAGUUGAAGAUAUGCAGCUUUGUGCAGAAGCCCAGCAUGUCCAGCGUGUAGUAACUAUGUCAAGAGAAGUAGAAGAGAUUAGAAAGAAGUUUGAGGAGAGGCUACGAAGCUUUGUACAAUUGCAAGUACAGUUUGAGAAAGACAAACGCUUAGCUCUGGAAGACUUGAGAGCAGCACACAGAUUGGAGAUUCAAGAACUUAUGAAAACUCAGCAGAAUCAGAAUGCUACUUUAAGUAAGGGUCAAGAGAAGCUAGAGGAGUUGCACAGGUUGGAACUGGAAGAUUUAAACAGCAAAGUUGAAGAGCUAAGACUGGAGAGGAAAAAACUCAUUGAGGAGUAUGAAGGCAAACUCAGCAAAGCUCAAUCCUUUUAUGAACAUGAACUUGAUGCUUUGAAAAGAUCUCAGCUCUUUACAGCUGAAAGCCUGCAUGCUUGCAAAGAGAAAGAAGUGGAGCUAAGAAGAGAGUUUCAAAGCCAAGAAGCUGUUUUACGGAAGAACCUUGGGAAACUGAAGACUGAAUUGCAGAUGGUACAGGAUGAAGCGGGUAGUCUGCGAGAAAAAUGCCAAAAGCUUCAGGUAGCUCUCAGUACAGCAGAAAACACUGUUCAGGUGCUUCAAAAACAGCUAGAUGACGUCAAGGAGGAGGAGAUAUCAUUGUUAAGCAAACACAAGGAGGUGGAAAGUGAGCUAGCAGCUGCUAGGGAACGCUUACAGCAGCAGGCCACAGAUCUUGUACUUAAAGCCAGUCACAUUGGAAUUCUUCAAGCUACACAGAUGACACAGGAAGUUACAAUAAGAGAUUUAGAAUCAGAAAAAUCUAGAUUAAAAGAGAAACUAUCUCAGCUGGAAGAGGAAAGAAAUCUAUUGCAGAGCAAAACACAAAGUCUGGAUGAAAGACAAAGGCAGCAGAUUCUGGCACUGGAAAAGAAGGUAAAUGAAGCCAGGGAAACACAACGAGAGUAUUAUGAGAAAGAGCUGAUCAAGCUGCAAACCAGAUUGGAAGGGGAGGCUGCACUGUUAAAUGAGGCUCAUUCUAAGACCUUGGAAGAAUUGGCAUGGAAACAUCACACGGCGAUUGAGGCUGCACACAGCAAUGCUACCAAGGAAAAGAAAAAGCUGCAACUGGAGUUGGAGCAGCAAUUUGAAAAGGAGAAACUACAUCUGGAAGGGGAUAAGAAUCAGCUUAGACAGCAGUUGGAAAAUAUGAGGGAAGAACUGACAACAAAGCUGACUUCGGCCAAUCAGGAGGUGUGUCGUUUACAAGACCUAGUAAGAAAAAGUGAACAGGGCCUUGGUACUGCAGAAGGACACAUCUCCAAUCUUCAGGAAACCCAGGAAAUACUCCAAAAAGAACUAGAGUUAACCAGAGCAAGGCUGAGAGAGACCACGGAUUCAUUGUAUAAUGUUGAGGAGGAACUAGAACAGGAGAGACAGCAGCAUGAAGCAAAGAUUUCUGCCAUGAGGGAAGAGGAGAAGAUGAAAGUUGACAGAAUGGCUCGUGAUCUAGAAAUAAAAUGGACAGAAAAUCUUCGACAGGAAUGUAGUAAACUUCGUGAAGAGUUGAGGCUUCAGCAUGAAGAGGAUAAAAAGGCAGCCAUGACUCAGCUCUUGCAACUGAAAGAACGCGAAAAAAAUGCUGCCAGGGAUGGAUGGCAAAAGAAGGUGGAAGAUCUUUUAGACCAGCGGCACUGUCUCGGUGAAGCUUUGCAUAAAUCUAUCAGCAAUAAAGAAGAAAAGAAUGGAUAUUUCAGAAUUAUCAGACAUUCACAGCAGUGGAACAAUUGCUGUCACCAGAGGGUGAUCUCCUUGCUGAAACAGAAUCUGGAGAUGCAGCUUUCCCAGUCUCAGAGCUCCUUGCAACUGCUACAGGUGCAGUUUAGUCAGGAGCGACAAAGGCUUACCCAGGAGCUUGAGGAACUGGAAGAAGAGCAUCAGCAAAGGCAUGAAUCCCUGAAGGAAGCGCAUAUACUUGCAUUUCAAAACAUGGAACAAACAAAAGAACAAAAACAAAAGGAACUAGAAGAGCAUUUACAACAAAAACAUUCAGAAGAACUUCAGACACUGAAAGAAGCACACAAACAAGCUAUGGAAGGUUUCAAAUUGGAAAUGGAACAGGAACUUCAGACUCUUCGAUUUGAGCUGGAAGAUGAAGGGAAAGCUAUGCUAGCUUCUUUGCGCUCAGAGUUAAAUCAUCAACAUGCAGCAGCAAUUGACCAACUAAGGCACAACCAUCAACAAGAAUUGGUAGCUGCUAAAAUGGAACUUGAAAGAAGUAUAGAACUCAGCAGACGACAGGAGAAGGAAUUUUUGUGCCGAGUAUCAGAUCUACAGGAUGAACUCAAACAUCGCGACCAUCAUAUAUCUGAAUUGGACAAGGAGGUUCUGACUCUGCAUGAGAAUAUAAGUGCCCUAACCAAGGAACUGGAGUUUAAGGGGAAAGAGGUUCUCAGAAUACGCAGUGAAUCCAACCAACAGAUUAGGAUACAUGAGCAAGAUUUAAGCAAGAAACAUGAGAAAGAGCUGGAUGUCAUGACAGCAGACCACAUCAGAGAGAAACAAAGCAUACUCGCAGAUUUUAAUAAGACCCAAGAACUACUCAAGGAAAUUAAUUCAGCUUUACAAGUUUCUUUAGAAGAAAUGGAAGAGAAAUACCAAAACAGGGAAUCAAGACCAGAAGAUUUACAGCUUAUUGCAGAGUUGAAAGACCUGAUUGCAGAGAGGGACCAACUCAUAAAGAAACUGAUUGAUGACAAAAAAUUCUAUCAACUAGAACUAGUCAACAGAGAGACAAACUUCAACAAAGUGUUUAAUGCAAGCCCUAAUGUCGGAGUUAUUAAUCCACUGGUGAAGCAAAAGAAGAAGAAUGAUAAAUCAACAAACAGGUUUGUGAGUGUUCCCAAUCUAAGUGCUCUGGAAUCUAGCGGAGUGGGCAAUGGACAUCCUAACCGCCUGGAUCCCAUUCCUAAUUCACCCAUCCACGAUAUUGAGUUCAACAGCAGCAAACCACUUCCACAGCCAAUACCACCCAAAGAGCCCAAGACGUUUUUGAGACGUCAGUAACAUGCAUGUGCAUGAAUUCAUGGAUUGUGAUGCUGGAGUUUCCAUUGCAAAUUGUUUCGUGCCUUGUAUUACCCCAGUAAAACGCCCUCCUCAGACUGAAGCUUCACCAGAUCCACAACGCCAGGAAUGGUUUGCCCGAUACUUCACAUUCUGAGAGAGAAUUUUUUUUUGUGGCAUAGCGUGGUGUGGAUUGUUUAGAAGAGCAUGUCUUUAAGUAAACCCUAUGUGAACAAGCUUUCCUGUACUAUGUCAAACACUGUGAAUGAGAAAGUAUUUGUCUCUCUGAUUUGAAAAUGCACUGUAUUUCAUGUGGUAUUUGUUGGAAUCACUUGACAUGAUACUAUAUAAUGUGCGUAAUUAUAUCAAUUAUUUUUAUUUAAAAUGGAAGAGUCUUUAAACUUUGUAAUUAUUACAUAAUAAAUUUUGGUAGAACAAA
Chrysemys picta bellii (western painted turtle) is the source of this 4342-nucleotide non-coding RNA. The record is from RefSeq and is a predicted model, not a curated record. NCBI's taxonomy places the organism in Eukaryota, Metazoa, Chordata, Testudines, Emydidae.